Scophthalmus maximus (turbot) is the source of this 1047-nucleotide long non-coding RNA. RefSeq lists it as uncharacterized. The transcript is spliced from 4 exons. NCBI's taxonomy places the organism in Eukaryota, Metazoa, Chordata, Actinopteri, Pleuronectiformes, Scophthalmidae. The record is from RefSeq and is a predicted model, not a curated record.
AUUUGCUGACACAGGAAACAGAGAUGUAUGUCCACAGAGGGCUGAGGCCUAAAACCAGGAAUGAUCCAGGACCAGGGUUGGUGGAUUGAUGGUUCCUGCUUCUCCAACAACAGCUGGGGCAGCGAGUCCCCAGACACCAGCAACCGCUGCCUAUUGCUCAAUUCUUAUGCACAGAGGAUGUGGUUUGUCCUGAAGGCGGGAUGGGGUUCCUGGGCUGCUGUUUUUACCUGAACUAUGGAUUCUCUGACCUGGCUCGAAGCCGGGUGAAGUACAACGGGAUAUACUGUAGAGCCCUGCUGCAACAUCAGAAUGUAUCCAGAUCGGCUGCAAAUACACUUCUUCAGUUCUGUUCAUUCUCGUACGGAGGUGGAUCUCGCUGGUCAAACCCUGUCUCCAUCCCCGCACAUCCGUAACCUGGGAGUCAUCUUCGACAGCAACCCCACUUCUAUAAUCUUGUUGAACAAGCUGGAAUUUUGACAAUAUAUAACAUCAGUGUACCACUGGCAACUUAGAGUCUCCCGUUGACCUGGUCUUUGUACCAGCCGACGGAUUAGAACCUAGAACCUUCUGGCUUAAGAUGUCAGUCAGUAUUUAUCUUCACUUAGUUACUUGCUACUCAAGUCAUCUUUUAAGUAGACAAGCUCAUGCUCCAACUAUUUCCACUUCUGCUUAUUUCAACAAACUUUUACUUGAGUACAGUUUGGGCUUCUCCACCCACCUCUCUUUUUAAACAGUGGCCGGUUCAGUGGCGUUUAUCUCCACUGUGCUGAUUCAAGUCACACCAGGCCUUCCACCCAACACUUCCUCCAGAAUGUUCUCAUAUAAAGUCUUCCCUUCAUUGGAAAGGGAAAGCCUUUUGAUGUUAAGCAACUUCAGGAAGUGUUAAGAGUUUGAUGACGAUAUCUUAAUAUCAAUUACGAGUACAGCGAAGAAGAGACAGAUUAAUCGUAUAGUAUGAAAUCAGUCAUACUCUAUGUCUUCUCGUAGGCUACAGCUAAUUACAUCCUGCCAUUAUUUGAAUACUGGUUUUUAAAUGAGAAUUUAUAG